GGGUUGGAGUUAGGGUUAGUGUUGGAGCUAGGGUUAGGGUUGGGCUUGGAGCUAGGAUUUUUCUGAGUGCAAUGAACCAACUCCCGAGUCUCUAGGACGUUCUUAAAAAAAUUUGAUUUUUUCCCAUAGGAAUGCAUGGGUUAGGGUUAGGGUUAGGGUUGGAGCUAGGGUUAGGGUUAGGGUUAGGGUUGGAGUUAGGGUUAGUGUUGGAGCUAGGGUUAGGGUUGGGCUUGGAGCUAGGAUUUUUCUGAGUGCACUGAACCAACUCCCGAGUCUCUAGGACAUUCCUAAAAAAAUUUGAUUUUUUCCCAUAGGAAUGCAUGGUUUAGGGUUAUGGUUAGGGUUAGGGUUGGAGCUAGGGUUAGGGUUAGGGUUAGGGUUGGAGUUAGGGUUAGUGUUGGAGCUAGGGUUAGGGUUGGGCUUGGAGCUAGGAUUUUUCUGAGUGCACUGAACCAACUCCCGAGUCUCUAGGACAUUCCUAAAAAAAUUUGAUUUUUUCCCAUAGGAAUGCAUGGUUUAGGGUUAUGGUUAGGGUUAGGGUUGGAGCUAGGGUUAGGGUUAGGGUUAGGGUUGGAGUUAGGGUUAGUGUUGGAGCUAGGGUUAGGGUUGGGCUUGGAGCUAGGACUUUUCUGAGUGCAAUGAACCAACUCCCGAGUCUCUAGGACGUUCCCUAAAAAAAUUUGAUUUUUUCCCAUAGGAAUGCAUGGGUUAGGGUUAGGGUUAGGGUUGGAGCUAGGGUUAGGGUUAGGGUUAGGGUUGGAGUUAGGGUUAGUGUUGGAGCUAGGGUUAGGGUUGGGCUUGGAGCUAGGAUUUUUCUGAGUGCACUGAACCAACUCCCGAGUCUCUAGGACAUUCCUAA
Non-coding RNA from Xyrichtys novacula (pearly razorfish), 859 nucleotides. NCBI's taxonomy places the organism in Eukaryota, Metazoa, Chordata, Actinopteri, Labriformes, Labridae. The record is from the annotation of a GenBank genome assembly.